Molecule: ribosomal RNA, 422 nt
Filed under: uncultured Sphingobacteriales bacterium
Lineage: Bacteria; Pseudomonadati; Bacteroidota; Sphingobacteriia; Sphingobacteriales
Description: bacterial SSU rRNA
Rfam family: Bacterial small subunit ribosomal RNA
Source: RNAcentral
AGUAAGGAAUAUUGGACAAUGGCCGCAAGGCUGAUCCAGCCAUGCCGCGUGCAGGAAGACGGCCCUAUGGGUUGUAAACUGCUUUUGAACGGGAGAAAACCCCCCGAUGAGUCGGGGGCUGAUAGUACCGUUAGAAUAAGCAUCGGCUAACUUCGUGCCAGCAGCCGCGGUAAGACGAAGGAUGCAAGCGUUAUCCGGAUUCAUUGGGUUUAAAGGGAGCGUAGGCGGACCGAUAAGUCAGUGGUGAAAUCUCCUCGCUUAACGAGGAAACUGCCAUUGAUACUGUCGGUCUAGAGUACAGUUGCCGUUGGCGGAAUAUGACAUGUAGUGGUGAAAUACAUAGAUAUGUCAUAGAACACCGAUUGCGAAGGCAGCUAACGAAGCUGUAACUGACGCUGAGGCUCGAAAGUGCGGGGAUCAAA